Molecule: ribosomal RNA, 468 nt
Filed under: uncultured bacterium
Lineage: Bacteria
Description: bacterial SSU rRNA
Rfam family: Bacterial small subunit ribosomal RNA
Source: RNAcentral
UUACCAGACUCCUACGGGAGGCAGCAGUGAGGAAUAUUGGUCAAUGGUCGGGAGACUGAACCAGCCAAGCCGCGUGAGGGAUGAAGGUACAGAGUAUCGUAAACCUCUUUUGUCAGGGAACAAAGGCGGGGACGUGUCCCCGGAUGAGUGUACCUGAAGAAAAAGCAUCGGCUAACUCCGUGCCAGCAGCCGCGGUAAUACGGAGGAUGCGAGCGUUAUCCGGAUUUAUUGGGUUUAAAGGGUGCGUAGGCGGAAUGCCAAGUCAGGGGUAAAAUGGGGGGGCUCAACCCCGACAAGCCGUUGAAACUGGCUUGCUAGAGUGGGCGAGAAGUAUGCGGAAUGCGUGGUGUAGCGGUGAAAUGCAUAGAUAUCACGCAGAACUCCGAUUGCGAAGGCAGCGUACCGGCGCCCAACUGACGCUGAAGCACGAAGGCGUGGGUAUCGAACAGGAUUAGAUACCCGGGUAAC